AAUCAACGCUGGCGGCGCGCUUAACACAUGCAAGUCGAACGAGAAAGUUCCCUUCGGGAGCGAGUAAAGUGGCGGACGGGUGAGUAACACGUUGGUAAUCUGCCCUUGAGUGGGGAAUAACUUUGGGAAACCGAAGCUAAUACCGCAUACGAUCCUUCGGGAUGAAAGCUUUAUGCGCUCAAGGAUGAGCCCGCGGUCGAUUAGCUAGUUGGUGGGGUAAUGGCUCACCAAGGCGACGAUCGAUAGCCGGCCUGAGAGGGCACACGGCCACACUGGCACUGAGACACGGGCCAGACUCCUACGGGGAGGCAGCAGUGGGGAAUCUUGGUCAAUGGGGAAAGCCUAGAACCAGCGACGCCGCGUGACCGACUGAAGGCCCGCUCGGGUCGUAAAGGUCUUUCGACGGGGACUAUUAUGAAGGUCCCGUAAAAGCAGGAGCGGCUAACUAUGUGCCAGCAGCCGCGGUAAUACAUAGGCUCCAAGCGUUGUUCGGAAUUACUGGGCGUAAAGCGAGUGUAGGCUGUCCGCCAAGUCGAUUGUGAAAUCUCCCGGCUUAACUGGGAGGGUGCGGUCGAAACUGGCGGACUAGAGUUCGGGAGAGGAGAGUGGAAUUCCUGGUGUAGCGGUGAAAUGCGUAGAUAUCAGGAGGAUCACCGGCGGUGAAGACGGCUCUCUGGACCGAUAC
RNAcentral lists this ribosomal RNA (685 nucleotides) under uncultured bacterium. RNAcentral's name for it is "bacterial SSU rRNA". It matches the Rfam family "Bacterial small subunit ribosomal RNA", at positions 28 to 740 of the family's 1533-position model. The record is from RNAcentral.